RNAcentral lists this ribosomal RNA (468 nucleotides) under uncultured bacterium. RNAcentral describes it as "partial 16S ribosomal RNA". It matches the Rfam family "Bacterial small subunit ribosomal RNA", at positions 28 to 507 of the family's 1533-position model. The record is from RNAcentral.
GAUGAACGCUGGCGGCGUGCUUAACACAUGCAAGUCGAACGGAAAGGCCAGUGCUUGCACUGGUACUUGAGUGGCGAACGGGUGAGUAACACGUGGGUGAUCUGCCCUGUACUUCGGGAUAAGCUUGGGAAACUGGGUCUAAUACCGGAUAGGACAACUUUUUGGAUAUUGUUGUGGAAAGCUUUUGCGGUAUGGGAUGAGCUCGCGGCCUAUCAGCUUGUUGGUGGGGUAAUGGCCUACCAAGGCGUCGACGGGUAGCCGGCCUGAGAGGGUGUACGGCCACAUUGGGACUGAGAUACGGCCCAGACUCCUACGGGAGGCAGCAGUGGGGAAUAUUGCACAAUGGGCGCAAGCCUGAUGCAGCGACGCCGCGUGGGGGAUGAAGGCCUUCGGGUUGUAAACUCCUUUCGCUAGGGACGAAGCUUUUUUGUGACGGUACCUGGAGAAGAAGCACCGGCUAACUACGUG